UGAAUACGAGACGCUAAGGCGUCGAAGUAGUGUAUGUCAUACUUCCAAGAAAAGCUUGCACUUUCAUAGAUAAAAAACGCCUGUACCAUAACCGACACAGGUGGGUAGGUAGAGUAUACUAAGGGGCGCGAGAUAACUCUCUCUAAGGAACUCGGCAAAAUAACUCCGUAACUUCGGGAGAAGGAGUGCCUUAUUCGUAAGGUUGCAAUAACAAGAUCCAAGCAACUGUUUAUCAAAAACACAGGUCUCCGCUAAGUCGUAAGACGAUGUAUGGGGGCUGACGCCUGCCCAGUGCCAGAAGGUUAAAGAAGUUGGUUAGCAAUUGCGAAGCUGAUAACUGAAGCCCUGGUGAACGGCGGCCGUAACGAUAACGGUCCUAAGGUAGCGAAAUUCCUUGUCGGGUAAGUUCCGACCCGCACGAAAGGCGUAAUGAUUUGGAUACUGUCUCGGAGAGGGGCUCGGUGAAAUAGACUUGUCUGUGAAGAUGCGGACUACCUGCACCAGGACAGAAAGACCCUAUGAAGCUUUACUGUAACUUGAAAUUGAAAUUGGACUUUAUUCGCGCAGUAUAGGUGGGAGGCGUUGAUUAUAAUCUUGCGGGAUUAUUGGAGCCAUCAGUGAGAUACCACUCUUGUAAUGUUAGAUUUCUAACUUUGAAUCAUUAUCUGGUCAAAGAACAGUUUCAGGCGGGCAGUUUGACUGGGGCGGUCGCCUCCUAAACGGUAACGGAGGCGUACAAAGGUUUCCUCUGAACGGUUAGAAAUCGUAUCUAGAGUGUAAAGGCAUAAGGAAGCUUGACUGUGAGACCUACAAGUCGAGCAGGGACGAAAGUCGGUCUUAGUGAUCUGACGGUACUGAGUGGAAGGGCCGUCACUCAACGGAUAAAAGUUACUCUAGGAUAACAGGCUGAUCUCCCCCAAGAGUUCACAUCGACGGGGAGGUUUGGCACCUUGAUGUCGGCUCAUCGCAUCCUGGGGCGGUAGUACGUCCCAAGGGUUGGGCUGUUCGCCCAUGAAAGCGGUACGCGAGCUGGGUUCAGAACGUCGUGAGACAGUUCGGUCCAUAUCCGGUGUAGGCGUUAGAAUAUUGAGAGGAGCCUUCUUUAGUACGAGAGGACCGAGAAGGACAUACCUCUGGUGUACCAGUUAUCGUGCCAACGGUAAACGCUGGGUAGCUAUGUAUGGAGUGGAUAACCGCUGAAAGCAUCUAAGUGGGAAGCCCACCUCAAGAUAAGUAUUCUCACC
RNAcentral lists this ribosomal RNA (1244 nucleotides) under metagenome. RNAcentral describes it as "bacterial LSU rRNA". It matches the Rfam family "Bacterial large subunit ribosomal RNA", at positions 1564 to 2818 of the family's 2925-position model. The record is from RNAcentral.